This is a long non-coding RNA of Homo sapiens (human), 2431 nucleotides long. Ensembl annotates it as MFF divergent transcript. Its record names the gene MFF-DT. The record is from Ensembl. Lineage: Eukaryota; Metazoa; Chordata; Mammalia; Primates; Hominidae.
GCCAGCUCGGGCGGCAGGUCGCGGGUCGGGAAGACGUCAACACUCACCCCUGGGCCCACAGGAGGGUCCCGGCGAGGACCCCCGCCCUCUGGCUCCCGGGGCGCUCGAGUGGGCGCUCUCAGAGGUGGUUGGCUGAGAGCACGGAGGCGCCCAGGGACAGCACCGGCGGAGCGGCCCGCAGAGGGCCAGGGCAGAAGCGCGAAAGGCGCGGGCUGGCCCCUUCUGGGAGCCGUAGCGGAAGAGUGUUCGUGGUCAUGUGACGCGGAAAAGGGCGGACGCGUGGCCCACGCACUGGAACGGCUCCACGAGUCUGUCACCCAGGUUGGAGUGCGGUGGUGUGAUCUUGGCUCCCUGCAACCUCCACCUCCCAGGUUCAAGCGAUUCUCCUGCCUCAGCCUCCCAAGUAGCUGCGAUUACAGGCACCCACCACCAUGAAGAAUGGCAUUUUUAAAAGAUGGCUUUCUUAAAAAAGGAUACUCAGUUGCUCUUCUACUCAUACCAAGUCCUGCAGACACAUUCUGGGACUGCACCUUAUGAGUGCUGCUCACUCUGUUUCCUGCAGAAGACAUACAGAGCCGUUCGCAUAGAGUAGGGCCAUGAUUUUGAUUCAGCAAUUCUUCAAACCACUGAUGCUGGUUGACCAUUUGACUUUGUUUUUGAAGUAUUUUUUACAUACAGUGUACAGAACAUUUCCGCUGGAUAUUUGGAUACUGAACAGGAGUAACAAGAGGAACAGCUCCUACCUCCCCCCUGCCCCUUCCCUCACAAGCCUGUGAGUCAGGGCAGGGGCAGCCACUGAAAGUAGCAGAGGCCUUCAUAAAGGAGAACACUUCUCCAUGUUGCCAUCAUGUGAAGAAGGACAUGUUUGCUUCUGCUUCUGCCACGAGUGUUGAAGGCAAUGGUGAUGAAAGUAAAUAUUUAAAAACACUACCAUAGCUGUCCCAAAUUUCAGAAAAACAAGGUACCACUGGAACCAUUUAAUUUUGUUGGAACACAGAAUGACCAUCUUGUGAUCAGUUUUCUGCAUCUUUAAAAUACCUGGAAGGUCAUCUUUAAAUAGUACAAUCUGAUAAAAGUUUAAUACUUAGUGUAGACUUAUAUGAAUACUUCUACAUUCAUACAUUUUUGUAUACUUAUACAUUUUCAUACUCAAUUAAUGCUUAAUUCAAAAAAUAUCUGAGUACCUGCAGUGUUCCCCAUGCUACAUACUGGGCUUAAACAGCCAAAAAGACACAGUCUUUGACCUCAAAAUACUUUGAUUCUUGUAAGAAAAACUGACAAAGACAAAGAGAAGGCAAUGUGAAAACUUCUACAGUUGGGAUAACCUUGGAGGUUACAGGAUGUGGACUCACUGAAAGCUUUCUGCUGGACUUGAACUUGAAGCUGAAGUCUGAAGGACAGAUGGGUGUUGCUUAGCGAAGGGAAAGUAGGAAGCAAAGACCCCUGGACAGAGUGUAGCAGGCACAGAGGGAGCAUGACACCUUCGGGAGAGAGCCGCAAGCACCUGGGCCCAGAUCCCAGCUUUAGCUUCAUUAGCCCUGUGAACUCUGUAUGUCAGCCUUGACAUAGAAAAAAAGAGGAUACUAAACCUCCAUCUUAAAAGAGACUUGGAAGAAGCUGGGAUUAUAGGCACACCACCACACCUGGCCCCAGAAAAGGGAAUCCUUGACCUGCAAGAAUCGAGGAAUAUUGUUUCUGACAUGCUCAGUGGACCUACUGCUGGUGUUCUUAACCAUUUCCUUCCUAAGUGGAACUUCUUUUGAGUUGACAGAGUCUGUAGCAAGGAUGACUUGAUACUCACAAAGAAUCCCGGAGGACCAGGUGGGCCAACAGGCCCAGGAAAACCUGGAGGGCCUGGCAAACCCUUGAAAUUGAGAGAAGAAUAAGACCUCAGAUGAAAACAACCAGUUGAGCUCCAAGUUUUCUUUCUGUGGGAGAACUUUCCUUAAAAGACAAUUAGAAAGCAAGGAAUGCGAAGAAAGAAAAUGGGAAGUUUCCUGCCUCCAAAUUAUGCUGUUGGUUCUGGCCUAAAGGAAUGUUUUCAAGGGAAGCCUGUCUGCCUUUCAUUGCCAUUUCACCUUGAUUUAAUCAUUCAGCAAAGCAUUUAUUAAUCAUCUUCUGUGUGAAAAGUACUUACCUUAGAACCACUGCAUCCUGGUACACCGACAAGUCCGUAAGGCCCGGUAUUGCCUGGGGUGCCCUGGAAGAAGAACAAGUCUCAAUGAGGAGGGUCAUCCCAAGAAACAGCACUGAACCCAAGGGAAAAGAUGCACUGAUUUAAAUAGCUCUUGAAAUAUAAAUGAUUGUUUAAAUGGUUAAGUAGUAAAUGUACAUUGUGGUUUUACAUAUAAUUUCAGUAGCAACAAACUAAACAGGCUGACUGAUAUGAAGACUUAUCAAAUGAGAUGUGGAUAUUUCAAAUAAAGCAAAC